UAGCUCGUGUCCGUAUUGUGUG
Molecule: non-coding RNA, 22 nt
Filed under: Arabidopsis thaliana (thale cress)
Lineage: Eukaryota; Viridiplantae; Streptophyta; Magnoliopsida; Brassicales; Brassicaceae
Source: RNAcentral